CCUACGGGCGGCAGCAGUGAGGAAUAUUGGUCAAUGGACGAGAGUCUGAACCAGCCAAGUAGCGUGAAGGAUGACUGCCCUAUGGGUUGUAAACUUCUUUUAUAUGGGAAUAAAAUGUUCCACGUGUGGGAUUUUGUAUGUACCAUAUGAAUAAGGAUCGGCUAACUCCGUGCCAGCAGCCGCGGUAAUACGGAGGAUCCGAGCGUUAUCCGGAUUUAUUGGGUUUAAAGGGUGCGCAGGCGGCGAGUUAAGUCAGCGGUAAAAUUUCGGGGCUCAACCCCGACGAGCCGUUGAAACUGGCUUGCUAGAGUGGGCGAGAAGUAUGCGGAAUGCGUGGUGUAGCGGUGAAAUGCAUAGAUAUCACGCAGAACUCCGAUUGCGAAGGCAGCAUACCGGCGCCCAACUGACGCUCAGGCACGAAAGCGUGGGUAUCGAACAGGAUUAGAUACCCCUGUAGUC
RNAcentral lists this ribosomal RNA (459 nucleotides) under uncultured bacterium. RNAcentral's name for it is "partial 16S ribosomal RNA". It matches the Rfam family "Bacterial small subunit ribosomal RNA", at positions 338 to 795 of the family's 1533-position model. The record is from RNAcentral.